RNAcentral lists this long non-coding RNA (1315 nucleotides) under Phasianus colchicus (ring-necked pheasant). RNAcentral describes it as "lncRNA (ENSPCLG00000017443.1)". Lineage: Eukaryota; Metazoa; Chordata; Aves; Galliformes; Phasianidae. The record is from RNAcentral.
AGCCGUGGGGUAGCUAUGGGGCAGCUAUGGGGUCUCUAUGAAGUCGCUAUGGGGCAGCUGUGGGGCAGCUAUGGGGUCUCUAUGGGUCUCUAUGGGGUCGCUAUGGGGCAGCCAUGGGGCAGCUAUGGGGCAGCCAUGGGGCAGCCAUGGGGCAGUUAUGGGGCAGCUAUGGGGCAGUUAUGGGGUCGCUAUGGGGCAGCCAUGGGGCAGCCAUGGGGCAGCUAUGGGGCAGCUAUGGGGCAGUUAUGGGGUAGCUAUAGGGUCACUAUGGGGCAGCCAUGGGGCAGCCGUGGGGCAGCCGUGGGGCGGUGACGCUGAGCGCUGCGGCACGCAGAGGGCGCGGAGCUGCCGGUGUCGGUGCGGCCGGUCGGGGACGGCGUGUACGAGUGCGAGUACCGCCCCACGGCGCCGGGGCCGCACAGCGUCGGCAUCACAUGGGGGGGGUACGGCAUCCCCAGGAGCCCGCUGCAGGUGGAGGUGGGUCCGGCGGCGGGCGCCCAGAAGGUGCGGGCCUGGGGGCCCGGGCUGCACGACGGCGUGGUGGGGAGAUCCGCCGACUUCGUGGUGGAGGCCAUCGGCACCGACGUGGGAACGCUGGGGUUCUCCAUCGAGGGCCCGUCGCAGGCCAAGAUCGAGUGCGACGACCGCGGCGACGGCUCGUGCGACGUGCGCUACUGGCCCACGGAGGCGGGGGAGUACGCGGUGCACGUGGUGUGCGACGACCAGGACAUCCGCUGCAGCCCCUUCAUCGCGCGCAUCCGCCCGCCUGCGCCCGACUGCAGCCCCGACAAGGUGGGGCGGCGCCGCCGCAGCCCGUGUCGUCACGUGUCGUCACGUGUCAUCAUCACGUGUCGUCAUCACGUGUCGUCAUCACGUGUCAUCACGUGUCGUCAUCACGUGUCAUCAUCACGUGUCAGCCCGUGUCAUCACGUGUCAUCACGUGUCGUCAUCACGUGUCGUCAUCACAUGUCAUCACGUGUCGUCAUCACGUGUCAUCAUCACGUGUCAUCAUCACGUGUCAUCAUCACGUGUCAGCCCGUGUCAUCAUCACGUGUCAUCUCGUGUCAGCCCGUGUCAUCAUCACGUGUCAUCUCGUGUCAGCCUGUGUCAGCCCAUGUCAUCUCGUGUCAGCCCGUGUCAGCCUUUGUUCUCCCAUGUUUGUCAGCCCGUGUUCACCCGUGUCAGCCUGUGUUAUCCCAUGUCAGCCUGUGUUCUCCCAUGUCAGCCUGUGUCAGCACACGGCAGCCCAUGUCAUCCCAUGUCAGUCUGUGUCAGCCAAUGUCACCCCACCCCCACCCCCACCCUCACCCCCAUC